This is a long non-coding RNA of Platichthys flesus (European flounder), 2875 nucleotides long. RefSeq lists it as uncharacterized. The transcript has 4 exons. The record is from RefSeq and is a predicted model, not a curated record. NCBI's taxonomy places the organism in Eukaryota, Metazoa, Chordata, Actinopteri, Pleuronectiformes, Pleuronectidae.
CUUACUUUGUGAGGUCCAGUGGCAAGGAGCACACCAACGGUAUGGGGCCCUCAGACGGUGUGGGGCCCAAAAUGGUGGGCCCCACAACGUUUAUUGCUUUAAAUGAGCUCUGGAACCUCCCCUAAUGCCCCUGUUGCUUCUUCUUCACUUGGCCCACAAGGUAACAAAAAGUGGAAACGUGUGUUUGAAAUUAUUUGCUCUCUAUCGCCCCCUACUUCCGGUUUUCCCAUUUUCGCCGAUACACACCAAGUAGAAGUGUGUAAACUUUCAGCCAAUGAUACGGGACGUGGGCGGGGCUUAGCGAAUGCCGCGCUGUGGACCGGGCCUGCAGCUCAAUGGAUGACAGAGGAAGAGGGUCCAGCCGGCAGAAGAUGCAAUAUCGUGGGUUCUGUCUUCAAGGGACAAGCAGUGUUUUAUAGAAAAAUAUAUUGAUAGUUACAAAGGUAAGAAGCAUGUCUGGUCCAGUCGGUGUAGCAUAUUGUGCAUUUCUCAGUACUAUUCAUUAACAUGUACAUAUGGUAUAAAUAAUUAUUUGAAAUAGACGUCAGAAGCAGAUAUCUUUAAAAACAUCUUGCUUGUGGCUGCUGUUUAAGUAAAAUGCAGCCUUGUAUGGGCAAUUUUACAUAAGCCUGUCUUCUAUCAUGAAUAUUUACAUUAAAUAUAGAUGCAAUUGCACAACUUUUUUUUGUGGUAUAUGGCUUGUGUGCACAUGCAUUAUAAAUAAAUAUCCUUUUUGUUGGAGAAUGAUUACAUGCUAGCUUCAACUUAUUUAAAAGAGGGCUGCAUAAUUAAUCAAAUAGUAAUUGUGAUCAUUAUUUUGGUCUUCCACAAUUAAAUAAACAUGAUCGACUGCGAUAUUGACAUAUACAAUCCAACAGAGUAGACAGCUAGACAAAAAUCAGAGGCAGAGUCUCAGAGCUAGUCUCUCGAAACAAAGCAUCGUCCCAUGGGUUUUUAGGUAAUUCAGAUUCAGGAGAGUUGUGAUCAUAAACAACAAAAAUCUUAUCCAAAGAGUGCAUGCCACUUGCCUGCUCCACAAAGCAACACAAAUAUUAAACCCCCUGAAUAAAUCUCCAUGAACUGCGGUUUAGGAUUGGUAAUGAAUAAUCGAUAUUCAUAUAUUCGUUCAUUAAGAAUUAUUCGAAUAACAUCCAAGCCUAAUGAAUAUCGUUCUAGUCCCGCGCAUUAUGAGAAGAACAUCUUCCGGUAUCUUGUGGAGCUCGACUUCCUACAGCAGAUGAGUGUAACGGGUGCUAAAUCCCUGUCAGAUAUCUUAACGGACUUUAAGUUCAUGGUCAGUGAUUUGUACAUCUAAAGAAAAUAUGUAUUCACUCUAACCGUCCCAUCCUUUCCCGUAAACUCACAGACCAGGGUUCCUAAACUGAAAAAGAAUGCCUUAGCGAAUGAUCGAUUAAUUGUUCAAUAACGUUAUGAAUAUUCGAACAUGAAAUCUCCUCUAAAGUCCCAUCCCUACUGCGGUUCGAUAAAUGCAUGAAGGCCAAGAAGGAGAAUAUUGUAUUGAUCCAAUAUUUCGCCGCUGCUCAAACAUCAACUCAAAAAUCAUGAACCGCAACACUGUGAAGGGUGUUAUCAUUGUAAGGUAGCGAACUGAUGGAAAACAUGAAAAUUAAUGCAGUGCUCUCUUUAGGUACAAAUCUGUGAAUAUUUUGCAUCAAUUUCAAUCAUGUUUUUGCCUCUAUUAGAUGCCCUGUGAAUGGGAUUUUGAAAUCAUGCUCUUUUUAUUUAAAUGUUAAAGUACUCUAUAAUCAAUUGAUAAUUUACAUGAAACCCUUUUGGUUAUAAUCAUGUAGCCCUACAUAGUGUAAUAGGAGGUUUUGUUACUUUUUAGUAUUGAUGCUUCCAAAGAAGACGGAUCCCUUGGAAGAUUGGUUAAUGAAAACAACAAAUAUCGAAACUGCACCAUACAACAAGCCAAACUUAUGCCUAUUUUCCAUUAAGCUUAUUGAGGUAGGAACCGAAAUAAUCUCCUACUCUGGUGACUCAAAAGGGCCAAGCCAUGAAAAGGUGACCAACUUGCAGACUCCUGCUGUGGCAGUAGAGACCCAGAUAUUAAAAGCAGAUCCGAGCUCCCAAGGAGAUUCCAGUACUGAACUUGCAAAAUCGCAGGUGAUCAACUUGCAGACUCCUGCUGUGGCAGUAGAGACCCGGAUAUUAAAAGCAUAUCCGGGCUCCCAUGGAGAUUCCAAUACUGAACUUGCAAACUCGCAGGUAAAAGAAUGAUGAAGACGCUGUCAUCACAAACUGUUUAUCUAGACCUCUACACUAUCUGGUUCAUUUACAAAGAUAUUGUGGUGUUGAUAUAGCAUUCUGAUACAGCUUUACAUUGGGGGUUACUCAUUGGCGGAUUUGGUAGACUUAUGAUGAAGGAACAUAGUUGAUGACGAGGGAACCUCACUUAAAUGAGCACACACACAUCUCUAGUCUUUUCCUUAUGGGGCCCAAUUCAUCUCAAACACACACAUUAAUGUUUCUAGUGAUGCUCUAAUGGGGCCCUUCCGUUUGGAUCUCACUUUUAGAGAUUUUACUCAUACACACACACUCAUAAAUGUGUCUAGAGAUGCUCUAAUGGGGCCCUCCUGUUUGGAUCUCACUUUAAGAGAUUUUACAUCAGUAAGGCAACACCUCUCAUUAUCUAAACCAAGUUAUUACAGAAAUAUUAUUACACUCUCUGAACGGUUAUAUGUUUAAAAAGGGUAUUUUGAAUGUGAUCCGCUUUAGCCUCUUAUAUGUUGUUAUGGCUGUAGUUCAGAUCUUCAGAAACGUCUUUGCCACACACUUAGCUUUGGUUAUAUGCUGUUUUAGAAUCGUUUAUCACAGAGCUGACUUUUGUAACUUAUCAAUAUCUUCAAAACCU